Molecule: long non-coding RNA, 2587 nt
Organism: Tribolium castaneum (red flour beetle)
Lineage: Eukaryota; Metazoa; Arthropoda; Insecta; Coleoptera; Tenebrionidae
Exons: 2
Source: RefSeq, a predicted model, not a curated record
UUUCAGUCAAACAACAUGUGUUCUUAUUCUUUAUCUUUUGAUUUCAACAUCGAUUGUUACUGCUGAUAACAUGAAUAAUAAUAGUGCAAGUGAUGAACAAGAUGUUGUCAACUUUUUAUCUAAAUGUGGGUAUUUGAAACCUUUAAAUAACAACACCAAUUCUAGCAAUACCAUCACAUAUAAAGAAAAUUAUAAUGAAGCCUUACUUAAUUUUCAAGAGUUUUACAAUCUACUUGCAACAGGUGAAAUUAAUCAAAAAACUCUGAAAUUAAUGAAACAAUCACGUUGUGGAUUACCUUAUGCUGUUCGAUGGACCUGGAAACGUUAUUGCUCAUGCAGAUUUCCCUAAUGAUAUAAACGUUACAGAAAUUCAUAUCGAUAAUGCAGAAAGUUAGUCUUAUUCAACAACUGUAGAUGCAUCAUAUUCGGAUUCACCUAGUUUAUUAAAUGUUAUAAUUCAUGAAUUAGGACAUACGUUAGGAUUAGAAAACUCUUCUGUUAAUACAUCAAUAUUGUAUUCAUUUUAUUUAAAUUCAAGGUCUAAAUUAGAUCAAGAUGAUAUUUCGGCAAUACAGAACUUGUAUGGUAUUAAACCAAAACAAAAACCCACUUUUAACGUUUCCACAACAUAAACAACAACAACAACAACAACAACAACGAAAUCAUCCCCACUAUCUACAUCAACCCCUAAAAAUGUACCUCGUCUUCCAAAAGAUAACAACAAAUUUCCAUUCUUAUGUAGUUUACAAACAAUAGAUAAAUUUCUAAUAGUUUAAACACAUUUAUACAUCUUUUAUAAAAAGUGAGUUUGGUUAAUUGAAAUAGGUAAAAAUUUAUAUCCAAAACCUUAUUUAAUUACUGGGUGGUUUCCAUUUUUACUAGAAGAUUUUGAAGAUAUUACAGCAAUUUGUCAUAAACCCUCAACAGAUGAUAUAGUAUUUAUUGUAAAAGCUGAGAUUAUAUUUUUUCAUUAUGUACUUUUAGACUUAAAACUAAUUAUCCAAAAUCUAUAAGCGACCAAUUUCGGCAGCGAUAACAACUUACUCAGGUAGUAUUUAUUUUUUUCUCAGAUAUAAUACAUAUAUCACAUUAUCUAGUUACAUCUCUGGAUUAAUGUUCCUGGUAUAACAAACGAAUUAUUUGAAAGUGUUCCCAAUAAAAUAACAAGAGCAUUUAGAUAUUGAAACGGAAAACUGUAUUUUUUUAAUGAAAAUAAUUACUUUGAAUAUGAUGAGUUUAUUAAUAGUGCCACACAAGCGGGACCUAAAACUUUAUCUAUAUUAAUAUUAAUUGUCCCCGCGAACCCAUCUUAAUUCAGUUAAAGAAUAUGAUAAGUAAACUCUUAAUGAACCUAAUAAUUGAGCCAUGGAAUUUUUUUAUCACCCAUAAAACCGCGUUUUUUCUAGUUUAUUUUUUAACAAACACUUUAUUAAUCUAUUUCAUAUCACCUAAUAAAAACCGCUGCUUUUCUUCAUUUCUGGUUUCCUUUCAGAUUUAUUGUAGAGGUCACAGCUUAAUUUUCGGCAAUUUCAUAUCCGUUUUAUAAUAAUUUAUGAAAAAAUAUCGAAUUUAAUUUUUUUACUUUUUCAUUUAAUUGUGAAGCGUGACUUCUUACAGUUCCAUCUGAUUCAUGACUAUUAAUCUGAUAAUGACUUCUCGUCUUUAUAUCAACCUAGUUCUUUGUUUUUAUUACCAUGUAAUAAGUUUAUUUGUUGCUUAACUGUGACUCCAAAUUUUGUGACAAAUUUAUUUACGAUUUUAACAAUCCUAUUCGAACAACUGAAUUCCUCUCUUAAACCAACACAAAUCAUCUGAUGUUAUUUUUUGGUAAAUUCUUUAAUUUUUAAACUUAUUUACCACGGUUGACUGCUAAAAAAUUGUGUUUAAUUUUUUAGGAAAAUUUCUUAUCAACCAAAAGUCCGUUACAAAAUUCCUACGAUAAGGAAAGCGUGUUAUCUGUUAACCGCAAAAGUUGAUUAUAAUUUUUUUCAACACAUUUCACCAGUUUUAUUAAAACUAUCUUUGUGAAAAGUUGUGUAUGCUCCGCUGUGUAUUUUUUGCAUUUGAAUUUCAAUAAUGGCUGAUUAAUGGUUAAAUCUGAAUAAAACUGUUGCCUGUGAAUAUACUGAUAGAUAUAUCAGUGCCAACGAUUUAGAAGUGGACAAAAAUAUAAAAUCAUCAAUUUAACCAAGGCAAAGACACAACAUGAGGUUAUGAUGGUGGCAUAUCUAGACAACGUCGGUAAAAUUUUUUUACAUAAACGACUAACAGCAGUUAUGAAUGAAACCACAAUUACGACAUUAAUGGAAAGACUUGGAUCUUAUUAAUUUACAGGCACGUGAUGCCCCCAUUUUUAAUUUCGAACGUAUUAUUCUCAAAGAUUAAUGUAAAAUUUUUGGUGUUAUGUUCAGUUCUAUUAAAAACACUGUAACUAAUUUAUGUUUUUUUCUUUUUCAGAUCCUUCACUGCAAGAUCCCGGACGCAGGAACUCAGGAAGAAGAACUCACGCUUCAUAUUUUUAGAUACAUCAUAAUAGUUUUGUAGAACACGUUGUAUUUGAACUAAAUAAAAAAGUAAAUUAAUCGAA